Molecule: long non-coding RNA, 2665 nt
Organism: Astatotilapia calliptera (eastern happy)
Lineage: Eukaryota; Metazoa; Chordata; Actinopteri; Cichliformes; Cichlidae
Source: Ensembl
GUUUUUCUGCUAAUGCAGCACUGUCCUCACAACCCCCUCCUGUAAGUUUUAGAGAAUAUAUACCCAUCCUCACAGCAAAUAUUUGGAAUCUCUUGAUGUGAGCUGCGUUGAGAGUUUGUCUCUGUCUCAAUAAAAGUUCACUGAUUCCCCAUCUGCAGCAGGUGUCCGGUUGUCUUCAUUCUCCGCCAGCCUGGUUAAGUCAAUUCCUCCUUAACAUCUAAAAGAACCUAUUUAAUGAAGGAAGACGGGUUCACUUUGUGUUUAAUAUUAUUCUAUUGCUGUUGUUGUUUUUUUUGUAUCCUUCAAUUGGCGUCACGAACAGGAUCCGCUCCAGGUCAAACUGGAACGGGAGGGAGGACAUCGGCCGUGGUCUGAGUGAACGGAGUUUGGACAAAAGCUGUGUACACACAAAAAACAAGUGUCUUCAUACAGGUGUUUUUUCUUAACCUGGAAGCCUGAGUACGGCAGCAGAAGACAGGCCAAGCUUUGGCUAAAAUUCACGGCUGGACACCAGAGUUGUCCUCACCCCUCCCGGUAAAACAAAAAAGAGAGAAUGUAGUUUGAGGCGGGUUUUUCUUGCUGAACCGCUCUGGGUGCUGUGUCCCUGAAUCUCACCGGUGUUAACCUCUGGCGGAAGACAUGGAGAAAAGGAAAAGAUGUUCCUGGUAAAUCACUGAAACAAAUAAAACCACACACAACCAGAGAAAGAUAUGAGAAGGGUGAGGAACAGACACAUGUGCGUGUUAGAGACAUGCCUCGUUUGAGAAAAAGUUAAAGUAACCCAUAUACAGACGCACCCAUACAUGCAAUGAAGAAACAGCUUACAUACAUGUGCACGUACAUGCAAGGUUAAAGUAGCGACACUUAACAUACACCUGUUUUUAAAUGAUAUAGUUUAUACAUUACUGACAAUUAAACGCUUUGGGUUGCAGGACAACAACGUAACGUUAAAAGACAAAGACACUGGUCUGAGGAUUAAGUGAGGACACGACAAAUUUAGUGGUUAAAAGGGUCGACUUGGGACAUGUUUUUGUUGAUUGUUUAAGACAAAUGACUACUGAAUGAUAGGAAAUUCCUUUUUAGGUUUCUAAACAGGAUCUUAAGAAUUUUAACACGUACCUGUGUUGUCCUGUCAACUUGAGGGGUUAGGAGUUGAUUAUAUGGUGAAAAAAAAAAAAAAAAAAAAAAAAAAAAACAAAAACAAAAAAGGGGGGAGACGAGAUCUCGUUGUUUCUCCCCUCUCGGGAUAACACAGCCAACACAGCACAGCCAACACAACAUCAUUUUCCUGUUCGCCUGUUUUGUUUUGUUUUUGUUUUUUCUGAGAGCCGAAGCUGACCUGGACUCCUACCCUCCCCUCUACCAUCGUUGCCCUCUCCGCGACCAUCUUUGACCCUUUGACCCCUGAAGGCCACAGCAGCUGGACUCACAACAACAACUUGAGGAUGUCAACAGUGCUGCAAAAGAGUGAUCUCAUGCAGCAGAGACGGAGAGCACUAAACCUAAAGCCCGUUUCACUACACGGGGGAAAUUCCCAGGCUGCGUCAGCUGACAGAGCUGUGACGAGACGCGCAUUAAGCCCGGAGGAAAAGGGACGGUGAGCAGAAGGAUGCUGACCUCUGAGAAGAGCCGAACAGCAGAGCUGCAGAAGGCCGUGGAGCAAAGUAAGGAAGAUGCAGGCAGCUGCAACAACGGAUGAAAACAGACCCAAAGAGGAGGGGAGGACCCUAGGCCAUGCGUCAGGCCGCUGGUUUACCUAAACUACAGAACAGAAAGGUUGUUGCUCUUUAACUCCUAGAACACGCCCUUGGCGAGGUGGGGGGAACUGGACCACCUUUCUGUGCCCCAUCAUCCUCUAUUAGACGACAUCCAAGCUAAGUAAACAUGUCUUGGCCCUUUCCCCCUGAAAUGACAGGCAGGCAAAGAUGUUGCGUAUUUGUUUGCUUCCUGGCCCUGGGUCUCAUUCCCAUUGGCAUAAUCCUGAUCUGUGAAGGGCCCCCGACACUUAUGACACCUUCAAGUUCAAAAGCUUCGCCCCCUUCUGACAGUCCCAAUCUGACAAAUGUAGCCCCUAGGGUCUUGCCCACCACUUCCUCUCCAGUUUUACCAUAUUCACUUUUGAAUGUCCUUAGCAGUUACCGUUCUGAGUUUAUUUUACGGUUGAUUUAUUCUUUCACAUUUUCACGUUUAUAUCUCUCAUUAUUAUAGUAUACUCUGUACUCUCCACAUUUUUAUCAUUACUUAUGCUUUUUGGUUGCUGAGUUACAGGAACUGUUAAUUUUGUGUCACUACCCUGGUUGCACUAACUCGUUGUACCCUUGUGUGCAGGACAGCUGUUACUGCUUUCAUCGGGAACCGAGACUGCUUGCAGCCGACCCCUGGGCAGGGUGGUGCCUGGACUCUUUUCUCCUCAUCUGCAAUGACAGAUAAAGACAAAUGAAAAGACCCGAGGAGUUUUUCGAGCCAGGCUUCGACACGUCUCUGUGUUCCUUUGAUUGUUACUUAUUUUUGUGUGUUGACCCAUUUAAGAUGGGUCAAAAGGGGGAUUUGAAGAAAAUAUAAUCUGAUCAAACAUUAUUCAGCUUUAAAUAUUGUUCAGCUUUAAACAUUAUUCAGCUUUAAAUAUUGUUCAGCUUUAAACAUUAUUCAGCUUUAAAUAUUGUUC